This 560-nucleotide ribosomal RNA is filed under the name Bacillus sp. Ni53. Its description in RNAcentral is "bacterial SSU rRNA". It matches the Rfam family "Bacterial small subunit ribosomal RNA", at positions 32 to 576 of the family's 1533-position model. The record is from RNAcentral. Lineage: Bacteria; Bacillati; Bacillota; Bacilli; Caryophanales; Bacillaceae.
AACGCUGCCGGCGUGCCUAAUACAUGCAAGUCGAGCGGACAGAUGGGAGCUUGCUCCCUGAUGUUAGCGGCGGACGGGUGAGUAACACGUGGGUAACCUGCCUGUAAGACUGGGAUAACUCCGGGAAACCGGGGCUAAUACCGGAUGCUUGUUUGAACCGCAUGGUUCAAACAUAAAAGGUGGCUUCGGCUACCACUUACAGAUGGACCCGCGGCGCAUUAGCUAGUUGGUGAGGUAAUGGCUCACCAAGGCAACGAUGCGUAGCCGACCUGAGAGGGUGAUCGGCCACACUGGGACUGAGACACGGCCCAAACUCCUACGGGAGGCAGCAGUAGGGAAUCUUCCGCAAUGGACGAAAGUCUGACGGAGCAACGCCGCGUGAGUGAUGAAGGUUUUCGGAUCGUAAAGCUCUGUUGUUAGGGAAGAACAAGUGCCGUUCAAAUAGGGCGGCACCUUGACGGUACCUAACCAGAAAGCCACGGCUAACUACGUGCCAGCAGCCGCGGUAAUACGUAGGUGGCAAGCGUUGUCCGAAUUAUUGGGCGUAAGGGCUCGCAGGC